AUACGGAGGGUCCGAGCGUUAUCCGGAAUCAUAGGGUUUAAAGGGUCCGUAGGCGGGUUUGUAAGUCAGUGGUGAAAGUUUUCUGCUCAACCGGAAAAUUGCCAUUGAUACUGCAAGUCUUGAAUCAUUAUGAAGUGGUUAGAAUGUGUAGUGUAGCGGUGAAAUGCAUAGAUAUUACACAGAAUACCGAUUGCGAAGGCAGAUCACUAAUAAUGUAUUGACGCUAAGGGACGAAAGCGUGGGUAGCGAACAGGAUUAGAAACCCCAGUAGUCC
RNAcentral lists this ribosomal RNA (274 nucleotides) under uncultured bacterium. RNAcentral's name for it is "partial 16S ribosomal RNA". It matches the Rfam family "Bacterial small subunit ribosomal RNA", at positions 523 to 796 of the family's 1533-position model. The record is from RNAcentral.